UACGGAGGGGGCGAGCGUUAUUCGGAAUUAUUGGGCGUAAAGGGCGCGUAGGCGGCUUGAUGUGUCAAAGGUGAAAUCCCUCGGCUCAACUGAGGAACUGCCUUUGAAACUGUCUGGCUUGAGGCCGGGAGAGGGUAGCGGAAUUCCCAGUGUAGCGGUGAAAUGCGUAGAUACUGGGAGGAACACCGGUGGCGAAGGCGGCUACCUGGACCGGUUCUGACGCUGAUGCGCGAAAGCCAGGGGAGCGAACGGG
RNAcentral lists this ribosomal RNA (253 nucleotides) under uncultured bacterium. RNAcentral's name for it is "partial 16S ribosomal RNA". It matches the Rfam family "Bacterial small subunit ribosomal RNA", at positions 524 to 776 of the family's 1533-position model. The record is from RNAcentral.